This is a long non-coding RNA of Ziziphus jujuba (common jujube), 2077 nucleotides long. RefSeq lists it as uncharacterized. Lineage: Eukaryota; Viridiplantae; Streptophyta; Magnoliopsida; Rosales; Rhamnaceae. The record is from RefSeq and is a predicted model, not a curated record. The transcript is spliced from 4 exons.
AGAAUAAUUUCUAGAACGAGGUAGGGGCAGAGAAAAUUCAAAAGUUACAAUCGAUUUCAAAGUUGACCAAGCCAAUAUUCUUCAGUGAUACAUUGCAAAUGCCUUUCAAAGUUCAAUAUUACAUUUAACACAUUGAGUGUUUGAGCUCAUUUUCUUCAUUUUAAAGCUAAAAGCUCUUUGUCAACCCUCCCUGAGCAAUCCUAUGAGACCCGUAAAACGACAUAUAUACAUAUACAUAUGUAAGCAUCAAAUAAAAAUCAGAGGAUGAAGAGGCUGUCUUUCUUCACUUCUUGGCAAACCCAAUUAAGAAUUUUUGGCCAUUUUAAACAUGAUUUAAUUGGAGAUCGACUAGGACUUAUAGCUAGGUUGCCUAGAAAUUAAGUAGUCAAUUAAUUGUUCUUUAGCUUGCCCUAUUUUACUUGACCACGCAAGCUUGAAAGGAUGUGACCACACAUAUAUAUUGAUAUAUAAUAUAAGGGGAUAAUUUUUUUCGAUUGGGUAUGGUGCAUCUCAACAAAUCAAAGUCAAAUUGAUGGGAAGGGAGGCAAAUUAAUGUUUGUAUAAAAACAAAGUUAAUUUGAAGUAGAUAACCUAGCUAGCAUUUUUUUUUUUUUUUUGGAUAAAUCCUAGCUAGCUAUUUAGGUAUGUUUUAGUCCAAUGAAGAAAUCAAUGUGGCAAAAAUUUCUAGCUUGGGAGAUGUUGGUCUUUUUGCACAAAAGCAAACAAAAUCAAGUAGUUCACACAUUAUAUUCCGGUAAGUAGAAGGUGUUAAUUUAUAAGUGGUAAGUCAGAAAAAGUUGCUUGUAUUGACAGCUUCGAAUCUCAAAGUGUUGCACACUUGAAAGAAACUUCCUCCAAAAAAGGCCCAUCAAAUACCAACAAAAAGAUAGGUUUCUUUGGGCAUGGGAACCAAUUGGCCAGCCCUCGAGCUUUUGCUUGGUAUCAUCUUCUAUUCUCUUGUAAAAAGCUGUCUUUUUUUUAACCCCCACUUCAUUUCUACGAAACUUACAAGUUUUCAUAGGGUUCUACUUCUAGGAGAAGCGUUUUUUUGGAGUGUGUCUCAUGCAAAGGCCAAAAAAAUGAGGUUUUGGUUCAAUAAGAAGAAGCUCAACAAAGUUGGAAGCAGAAGCUGUGGCUGGUCCAGUUGCCACUGACAAUCACAUGCUGGUUCAUUAUCUUUCUCACUUUAGAGAAACAACCACAUGGUUUUUUAGAUUUAUUAUUGCAGUACGUUGCACGUACUGAGUAAUUUGUUUGUUCUUUUACUUAUUUAUUUAUUUCAGGCUCACCGAAAUAAGAAAAGACUAAUUGGGUUUGCUUUAAUUCAAUUGCUGAAGUAGUCGUACUGAUAGUACAUAAGAGUGUUAACUUUUAACGAUUACGGACAAUAGUUCUACUAUUUUCAAUCAUUGGAAUUUGGAAAACUACAAAUCAAUUUGACUCUAUUUUCAAUGAUGAACAAAAUGGCGGUUUUCAUAUACCAAAAAACACAAAAAGACAGUUCUGAUUCACCUAAAGUUGAAAUUUUUUGGUUUCAGAUGGAGGAGAAGGGACCUUGUAAUUUCCUACUCAAACAGGGCCUAGUUACGUGGAUCCAUCAGUAUUUUUGUGACUGUUAACCAAUCUUUCCAUAGUGUGGGUGUAUACAGAACACAGUGUACCUUAAAAGACACCAAUUAACAUCAUCUCAGCAAAUUCCAAAGUCCAUGGGGCCUAUAGCACAAGGCCAACAAUUCUCUUGCUUUGGUGGGCAUUAUACUUAUAUGGUCUUUUUCUCAAUGCAUAGUAGGAAAACAUUGCUGUUUGGCCUCUGUUUUUCCAGACAAACAUUCAGGCUAUAUUUGAUGCAAGACUUGGCAUCAUAAGGUUGACUUGCUGAGACAAUGAUUUGGGAACUGGUCCAGGUAAUUUGUUGUUGUAUCUAAAAGGAGAUUAUAUUAAAGGAGUAUGUUGGAAUGUAACCAAAUUUGAGUGCCCAUUUUGCUCUUGUGGAUUUUGUCGUCUAUUUUUUUGGUUUUUCCCAUUUUAACAACGAAAAAAGAUUGAAUAUAAAUUACAGGGAGAUAUUUUUCCACAA